This 77-nucleotide transfer RNA is filed under the name Candidatus Magasanikbacteria bacterium CG_4_9_14_3_um_filter_32_9. RNAcentral describes it as "tRNA-Met". It matches the Rfam family "tRNA". From Rfam's summary of the family: Transfer RNA (tRNA) molecules are approximately 80 nucleotides in length. Their secondary structure includes four short double-helical elements and three loops (D, anti-codon, and T loops). Lineage: Bacteria; Candidatus Magasanikiibacteriota. The record is from RNAcentral.
GGCUGGGUAGCUCAGUUGGUAAGAGCACAGGAUUCAUAACCCUGAGGUCGGGAGUUCAACUCUCCCCCCAGUCACAA